Molecule: long non-coding RNA, 838 nt
Filed under: Amborella trichopoda
Lineage: Eukaryota; Viridiplantae; Streptophyta; Magnoliopsida; Amborellales; Amborellaceae
Description: long non-coding RNA (ATRI_LNC001208)
Source: RNAcentral
AAGAACAGAAGAGGAAUGAAAGAAGAAGAGAAGGGAAGAUAAAAGAAAAGAAGAGAGAAAAGAGAGGAGGAAGAUCUAUCAGAGUGGAGAGUGGGAGAAAUGGAGGGUACUCCAAGGGAUGAAAAGAAGGUUUAGUACUGUGGGACAAGCCCAAAACAGGACGACCCCCAGCAGAGCCUCGUAGUAGUAAUAUGAAAGAGGGGGAGAGAGAAGGAUGAAGAGAUGGGAAAUGAUGGAAAUAGGGAGGCACUCCAAGGGAUGCAAAGAAGGUUUAGUACCGUGGGACAAGCCCAAAACAUGACGAAAGAAGAAGAUUCAAGGGAGAGAGAAUUUUAUUUAAGAGAGGAAAGGAGUUUGAAAGAGGAGAAGGUUCAAGGGAGAGAGAGUUUCAUUCAAGAGAAGGGAAAAGAAGAUUCAAGGGAGAGAGAGAGAUUCUUUUAAGAGGGAGAAGAGAAGAAGAUUCAAGAAAGAGAGAUUUAUUUAAGAGAGAGAAGAGAGUUUUUAAGAGAAAAAGAGGAUUUAAGGGAGAAAGGGUUUCAUUCAAGAGAGGAGCGUUUAAGAGAAAAAGAAGGUUUAAGAGAGAAGAGAGUUUAAGAGUGAAGGAGAGUAGAGAGUUUAAGGGAGAAGAAAAAGAGGAGAGAGUUCAAGGGAGAAGAAAGAGAGUAGAGAGUUUAAGAGCGUAAGAGAAUGAGAGAUUAGGGGGAGAAGAAAGCUGGGGCGGUAGCCUUGGUCACCCCCAUAGGGAGAUGAUAAAGAGGGGGAGGAGGUGAGAGACAGGGAGAUUCGGGGUGGCAGCUUGGGCCGCCCUUAGAGAACGAGAGAGAGAGAGAGAGAGAGA